Non-coding RNA from Leptonychotes weddellii (Weddell seal), 9438 nucleotides. NCBI's taxonomy places the organism in Eukaryota, Metazoa, Chordata, Mammalia, Carnivora, Phocidae. The record is from RefSeq and is a predicted model, not a curated record.
UUCGCAAGCUCUCUGAGCCUGCGUCCGCCUAGAGGGAGGGCUUCCCUGGCCCGGCCAGAGUGGCUCAAAGCACAAACGACUGUCAAGAGUGUAGGCGAGUGGAGGUGCCGGAAGUGUCUGCGCGCCGUGAGAUAACUUUCCUGCUCCGGCUGCGGCCCGGAGCCUCCACCGCCUCGGUGUUGGCAGCGACGAUGCGCCCUGAUGACAACGACCUGAGCGGACUCGCGCCUCGGCCCACCGCUAGAGUCUGCACACUCCUCACCGCAGGAGAAGACUGAGUCCAGAGGCGUCCACGCGCCGCGGGAGCCCUGUGCUGGCAGCGCGGCGCUCGGGGCCCAUUUCCUUUGCUCCGUCCUCUAGCGUCUUGGCCGGUUCCCCGCGAUCGCGCGUCCUCAGCGCCGGCCGCGGUCGCCGGCUGUUCCCGCCCUCACCGCCGGCCGGGACGUGCCCCGGGUGGCUGCUGGUAGCGUCUGUGCCAUGGGGCUGCCUACUCUGGAGUUCAGCGAUUCCUACUUGGACAGCCCGGAUUUUAGGGAGCGCCUGCAGUGUCACGAGAUUGAACUGGAGCGAACCAACAAGUUCAUCAAAGAGCUCAUUAAGGACGGCUCUCUGCUCAUUGGGGCGCUGAGGAAUCUGUCUAUGGCAGUACAGAAAUUUUCCCAGUCACUGCAAGAUUUCCAGUUUGAAUGUAUUGGUGAUGCUGAAACAGAUGAUGAAAUUAGUAUUGCUCAGUCAUUAAAGGAAUUUGCAAGAUUACUCAUUGCAGUAGAAGAAGAAAGGAGGAGACUGAUUCAAAACGCUAAUGAUGUAUUAAUUGCUCCACUUGAGAAAUUUCGCAAAGAACAGAUAGGUGCAGCAAAAGAUGGAAAGAAGAAGUUUGACAAGGAAAGUGAAAAGUACUAUUCUAUUCUUGAUAAACAUUUAAAUUUGUCUGCAAAGAAAAAGGAAUCUCAUUUGCAAGAGGCAGAUACACAGAUUGACCGAGAACAUCAGAAUUUUUAUGAAGCAUCACUAGAAUAUGUCUUUAAAAUUCAAGAGGUUCAAGAAAAAAAGAAGUUUGAAUUUGUUGAGCCGCUUUUGUCAUUCCUUCAGGGUUUAUUUACUUUUUACCAUGAGGGAUACGAACUCGCCCAGGAAUUUGCACCAUAUAAGCAACAGCUUCAGUUCAACUUGCAGAACACAAGGAAUAAUUUUGAAAGUACUCGACAAGAGGUAGAGCGGUUGAUGCAAAGAAUGAAAUCUGCCAACCAAGAUUACAGACCACCCAGCCAGUGGACAAUGGAAGGCUACCUUUAUGUCCAGGAGAAACGACCACUUGGUUUUACAUGGAUUAAACAUUAUUGUACAUAUGAUAAGGGAAGUAAAACAUUUACAAUGAGUGUUUCAGAAAUGAAAUCCAGUGGGAAAAUGAAUGGCCUUGUUACCGGUUCACCAGAAAUGUUUAAAUUGAAAUCUUGUAUCCGACGAAAGACAGAUUCAAUUGACAAACGAUUCUGCUUUGACAUAGAAGUAGUUGAAAGACAUGGAAUCAUCACAUUGCAGGCAUUCUCAGAAGCUAAUCGGAAACUCUGGCUUGAAGCCAUGGAUGGUAAAGAACCGAUUUACACCCUGCCUGCCAUUAUUAGCAAGAAAGAAGAAAUGUACUUAAAUGAAGCAGGGUUCAACUUUGUGAGAAAAUGCAUUCAAGCUGUGGAAACAAGAGGCAUCACUAUUUUAGGCCUCUACCGAAUAGGAGGAGUAAACUCCAAAGUUCAGAAACUCAUGAACACAACAUUUUCUCCAAAAUCCCCUCCUGAUAUUGACAUUGAUAUUGAAUUGUGGGAUAAUAAGACAAUAACAAGUGGACUGAAAAACUACCUCAGAUGCCUUGCAGAACCACUGAUGACUUACAAGUUACACAAAGAUUUUAUUGUUGCAGUUAAAUCUGAUGACCAAAACUACCGGGUGGAAGCUGUACAUGCAUUGGUGCACAAAUUGCCAGAAAAAAACAGAGAGAUGCUGGACAUCUUAAUAAAGCACCUCGUCAAAGUAUCACUACACAGCCAACAAAAUCUCAUGACUGUCUCAAACCUUGGAGUCAUAUUUGGCCCAACUCUAAUGAGAGCACAAGAAGAAACUGUGGCUGCCAUGAUGAAUAUUAAAUUUCAGAAUAUUGUGGUUGAAAUUCUGAUCGAGCACUAUGAAAAGAUUUUUCAUACUGCCCCAGACCCAAGCAUUCCUCUUCCUCAGCCUCAGUCUCGAUCUGGAUCCCGAAGGACACGAGCAAUCUGCCUCUCCACAGGUUCCCGGAAGCCUAGAGGGAGGUAUACACCGUGCUUGGCAGAACCUGAUAGUGACUCUUACAGCAGCAGCCCAGACAGCACACCCAUGGGGAGCAUUGAGUCACUCUCCUCUCACUCCUCUGAGCAAAACAGCACAACCAAGUCUGCUUCCUGCCAGCCCAGGGAGAAAUCUGGAGGGAUUCCUUGGAUUGUAUCCCCAUCACCUUCCAAUGGACAGAAGAGUCUUGGACUCUGGACAACUAGUCCUGAAUCAAGUUCUAAAGAGGAUGCAACCAAAACGGAUGCAGAAUCAGAUUGCCAGAGUGUUGCCUCGGUCACCAGCCCAGGGGAUGUUUCCCCACCCAUAGACCUGGUCAAGAAAGGGCCGUAUGGGCUUUCAGGACUGAAAAGAGCCUCAGCUUCCUCUCUCAGAUCCAUCUCUGCAGCUGAAGGAAGCAAGAGCUACAGUGGAUCCAUUCAAAGCUUAACUUCUGUAGGUUCCAAAGAGAUGCCCAAAGCCCCACCACACCCAGACCUGCCUCCAAAAAUGUGCAGGAGGUUAAGGCUGGACACUGCCUCGAGCAAUGGCUACCAGCGACCUGGAUCUGUUGUGGCAGCAAAAGCCCAACUGUUUGAAAAUGUUGGUUCACUUAAGCUGGUUUCUUUUGGGCGCCAAGCCAAAGCCAUGUACUCUUGUAAAGCAGAGCACAGCCAUGAGCUUUCCUUCCCACAGGGGGCGAUAUUUUCUAAUGUGUACCCAUCAGUGGAACCGGGAUGGUUGAAAGCAACUUAUGAAGGCAAAACAGGACUAGUUCCAGAAAACUAUGUUGUCUUCUUCUAAUACUGUUUAGUGGAUGGCAGUAUCUUCAUGGUAUCCAUGGUAACAAUAAUAAGUGCUAUGAUUUUAUCUGACACAGAUAUGGGAAUCAGCCCACUAAAUGAAAAGUAAAUUUCUGUUAAGUUUCUACACCAGCAGACUAUGUAGCUCCCUAUAAAUGGAAAAGAAAAAAAAAAUGCUUAAAUUGCUUGCCAUGCCAUUCUUUUUAUUUUUUACUUCUUGACUGGUUUCUUAUUUUAAAAUCUUUCUUCCCCUGUUUUUUCUGAUAAGUAACUCUACACAUUGUCUCUUCCAUAACAAUUGUAGAAUCUCAAAUACUGUGUUAAGUACUGUAUCCCAGAAAUUUGGAAACUAGAAAUUUGCUAUAAGGAUUUUUAGAUAUGUCCUUUACUGUCUGGCAUUCUCUGAGGAACCUUGAAAUCAUUACUUAAAAAUGUAAUUUAAAUUGUUCAUUUAUUUUUUUUCUUAAGAAUUUACUUCUUUUAUAUAUGAUUGUUUUGCUGGUCCUAAACAUUUCAAAGAAUAAGUUUUUUUUUUAACGUAAGUUUAUUUUUAUUUGUUUACCAAGUAGAUGAUGAUAUUCAAAAGGAAUAAUGUAUAUGAUGUCUAUAAAUGAAAUCAAAUUAAGUCAUACACUGAUUUCAAUAUAAACACUCCAUUCAGCAUUCCAGAUGCCUUCUGUGGGCAUAGCAGGGAUUAGCAAACUAUUUCUGUCAAGGCCUGAUAGUAAAUAUUUGGGAGUUUUGCAGACCGUGAAGGUCUUCACCAUAAUACCCAACCCUGCCAUUGUAGCAGAAAGCACCCAUAGACCAUGAAUAAGCAAAUGAACAUGGCUUACUUAGUACCAAUACAACUUUAUUUAUGGACCCUGAAAUUUGAAAAUCAAAAUUCUCACAUGUCCUGGCAUGUCAUCCUUCUUUAACUUCUUAAAAUCCAUUUAAGAAUAGAAGUAUUUUAGCUGAUGAGCCAUACAGAACUGGUGGCAAGCCAGAUUUGACUCAUGGGUCUUGGUUUGCUGACGCCUGGUUAAGAGGAUGUAUAAAGCUAUCUUUAUAAUUUGGGGAUUUUAUGAAAUUUUACUAUAUUAACAUAUAAAUAACAACACAUAACAUGUAAUUUUACUACAUCAACAUGAUAAGUCAUAUGCAUAUAUCAUCUCCUAGUGGCAUCACAAAAUAUAACUACAGUAAUAGGAAAACAGUGUAAAAAGUGCAGUUUUAAGGCAUGCAGCCUGAAUUGUACUUGUGACACUGUGAAGUGUCAAUGUAUAUUAUUGUUAUCUAAUUUUAAUUUUGGCUUUUGAGAAAUUCUUGUACAAAUGAAUAAGAUGUUUUUUAAAGACAGUAGUAGAAAAGCUAUGCAUUUUAAAUUCUACACUUAAUUGCAAUAGAAACCAAACAUAAAGAUACAGGAUUCUUAAAUUAUUUUGAGCCACAGAAUUUAAAAUUGCUUAGUCAUCUUUAGCAGGAAUAAAAUCUGUACGUGAUUUUCUUUUAUGCUUUUCAGUUUACAGCCUUUAUUAAGAAUUCACUGAAUUUAUAAAACAUAGAAAUAGGUAUUUACUACCAAUUUAAAUGUAUCACCAACAUCUAGUCAUGCAUCAGCCAUUAUUUCUGUUAUUUCUAUUUCAAUUAUUCUAAAAUGUUAUUUCUAUAAAUAUCUGCAUGUAGCAAAGAGCCUUUUUUCUCAAGAUUCCAAAAAGCCGGUUGCUCACCAUUGCCUCCCACAGGACUGGUCCACUGGGCCAUGAUAUUUUACUUGUUACUUCGGAGUUCUCCACUGUACAGACACACUCAGACAAGCAAGAAGAUUAGCCCCUGCCUACUGAGAUAUGCAUAAUGUCCCCAAGGAAUGUGAUGCCUUCCAGGAAUUUGAUAGUCUUAUUUUUCCGAGUGGAUGGUGUCCUAUUUUCAUCCUGCCUGAGCCUACGAAAGAGAACACCUGCAGAUCUUGGAAACAGUGUUCCUCAGGAGAAGGAAUAUAAAGGCUAUGAGCCCAAGAGCUGCCCUAGUAGCUUUCCAUGAGGCCAAAAGCUGCCAAGAGACUAAUGUGAAAAUAGGUAUGAUUGGCUACUUACACAAGUAAGUAUAAUCCUCAAAGGUAAAGAAGAGCUGUGUCCUCCAGCUGAGUAUGUGUAUGGUUUUAGGGUGUACUAAAUUCAGGAAAUAGACUCUGGAUCUUAUCCCCUGCCUUGUAUCCUGCAUUAUAAUAUCACUGAAACAGAUAGUGCCUGGUUACAUCUGUCCAUUAACUAUUUGUGGUCCACUAGACUAUGAGCUCUAUAAAAUCAUAUUCUAUUUGCCUAGGGCAGGAGCUCUGCAUAAGUUGCCUAUCCAAAAUCUGAUCUCCCUCCUUCCUUAAUAUAAACUUGGAUUUGAAAAACUCUAUAGUUGAAAAAGUCUCAGACUCCUUUGCAAUAUGGAGUCUAUCUGAUACAGUUUCUGCCACUGAGAUAAGUAAAAGUGAUAAAUGCAAAGUUUCUGGGAAAGUUUUGUUUUUGUAAUAAGUGCUACUGCUACCCCCUAUUCCUUGUGAUUUUCCUCUUAUUCUUCCUGCCUGGAAAAUGGAUGGAAGUGGAGCAAUCAUUUUGUGCCAUAAAAAUAAAAGCAAGAAGGAGCUUGGGACAUUUAUAUUAUCAUGGAAGCUGGAUUAACUCCAAAUUGUUGUUUUAUGAGAAAUACCCAUUAUUUGGUUAAAUGUUAUAGUAAAGUUUCUUUCAUAGUCAGUCAAAUGAAAUACCUUGCCUCCUCAUCAUUUUAUUAAACCAAACCAUUUGCAGAACUAAAGAAUAUCAAUCAUGUAGAAAGGACACACUUAACAUACAUGGUGGCUGAGUACUGCUAAUUUCAUGUGUGUCUUUCAAGGAACCAGAAACUCUUGUUUGUGAGAUAUGACUUAACAUAUAUAUGUAUGGUGUAUAAAUGUAUACAUUUAAACCUUUACUGAGUCAUGUUUCUUUCCAUUUAUAUGUUCAGUGGCUGAAAUCACCAAUCCAAUUACAUAUUAUAGAGUUGUAAACUUUAACCUUAAAAAUGAAUGUUUUGUUCAUAAUAAAUUUUGUUUAUAAUUCCAUGAGAAUACAAUGAAUCUGCUUAAGAAGUUAUUCAUUGCAACAAAUAGCUCACAGCAACACAGUUCAACUAGAAACAGUGCAUUUUAUACAGUAAAUGCUUUCUUUGUACCCUUCUCCUCUCACUUUUUAGAGCAUUGCUCUCCUUCAGAUGGGCAAGAUAGGUUUGUAGACAGAAAGGCCAAGGAGAAAGUAGAAGGAAGAGAACAUUUAGGGGUAGUGGAGUGACAGAGAUGAGGGACUCUGUAGAAGGCCUCUGAACAUGGGAUGUCACCAUUUAUGGCCAGAGACCAUUAUAGAAUGUUGAGCACUCAUGAAGGCUCCAAAUGAACAGGAGACUUUUUCGAGUGACAACAUGAAUGAGUGUUAUGGAUGGGUCUGAAACCCUACAUCCUAGGCUCCAGUCCAAUGUUGCUCUCUGCAAUUGUGCAGAACCUCAAUUCCCUCAUUAUCAAGGAAGACAUAUAUAUCUCAUUAGCUUUACAUAACAUUUUGACUUGCUAAUUAUAAGUGUAAAUUGUAUUUCAGUAUGUGUGCUUAUACUUGUGGACAUUUUGUUCUUAUAGAUUCACUGGCCCACAGGAAUUGUAGUUUAAUGGAAAUAGGGCUGGGCUUGGAGCCAGAAAACCUGGCUGGAAUAGACCUAGUUGUUAAGCCAUAGACCUGGUUGUAUAAUUUUGUGCAACUCUUAUCUGUAAGCCUCAGAAAAAUAUAGAUAAUAGUCAUCUUACAGUGUGUUAUGAAGCUUUUAUAAAAUAGCGUAGUUGUCCCACAGGACUCCCCAGUAAAACUGAAGAGAUGAAAGAUAGAAGCAUCGGAAAGGGGUGUGGCCAAGCCAUAUGGGUUAGCAGGGGUCUCAAGCUUGAAUACCUACUAGUUCACGCAGGUAAUAUAAAGGUGUGAAGUAGUAACUCUGUGGUGAUUUACAGAGUACCGGCCCAGGAGGGCAUAAACUUUUGAAGCUCAAACUGAUUGUUGUUAUGUAAAAAAUGUAGGCUUAGAUUUUCUGAUUUUUAAAGAGAUGCCAGGAAUGUGGGUGUAAAACUUUGUUUUCAAAAUAAUGGCAAAUAUUUCAGAAUGUUAAAAGAUUGUUGGACCAAACAACAUAACCAUGGAUGUAGUUAGUGGGUACUGGUUUGUGAUCUUUGAGUUUCAGUGGAUUUUACGGGAGGGCUUCAAUUUUUCUUUUCUUCUAGUUUAAGAAAACCUGUUGGCUGAGGAAACUCUUACAAAUAUCUGAGGUUCUUGUCUCCAACACAACUUCUUAAUUUACCUUACAAGUAAACAGGCUCCAUUAAAAACAAACAAACAAACAAACAAAAACACAGGAGAGCUCACCCAAAUAUAAGGUGUUGAAAGGAAGUUGCCUUAUUUCAUCUGGAACAAUGAGUAGGCAGAGGAUAUAUUGGCUCUGUGUGUAAAGUAAGGAUGAUUGAAUGUGACCAGGAAGUGGCCAAGAACAUGAAUAUCUAAAAGAAGUAAUCUAAAAUAGGCUCACUGGGACAUCAGAAAAAAAACUCUUUUUUUUUUUUACCCACUGUCCAGCAUCUUUUAGUUUGAAAUCCUCAGGUAUAGGACCAAUUGUAGUCAGUAUAGUCAGGUCUUUGUGAAUAUGAAACACUUCAUUGAAAUCUUAUUGUCUGAACAUUUUCGUCCUGAUCUCUAUUUUUUGUUUUAGUUUUUGGAGCAUCAUCUGGGGGGAGGAGUGUUCUCUGCUGCUGCUUCAUCCUAGCGAGAGAAGCCACAUACUUACGCUGAGGUAGGAAACAUGAAGUUCAGAGAGGUUAGGUAACUCACUCCACCUCAGUAAGAAGUAUCAGAGUACAGGUUAGAACUGAAAUUUUUUCCUUCAAUCUUCCAGUCUCUUUCCUUUAUAUUUAGCCUGCAUUGAUGAUUUUUGUUGUCUUUUGUAAAAGGUACUUAGUUACAUUUUCUCUAGAUUGUUUAUGUACAUGAGUUUGCUGUUAUGUAUCCAUGCAUGCACACAAAGUUAAGAGUAGACAUUUCUUAAUCCCAGAAUCAUUUUCAAUGUAAACCCUACUUACUUGGAGAUAACUCAGCAUAGCAAUAAGUUAAAGAAAGCUCCACAUGAUACACGUAAUUUUACUCUAUGCAAAAAGGUUUUUAAAAAUAUGAAAAUGUUGUGAAUAGCCUCUGAAUGUAAGUUCAGUAUUUUCUUAGUUCUUGGAAGAAAUACAUUUUGAAGUUUCAUAGCAAAAGGGAAAUAAAUCGCCAGACAGGAAUCCAGUGAAUUCAGCCCAGUUUAGAUAGCCAAAUCAGAUGAUUUUUAAACAAUAACCUCUUCCUUCUUCCUGGAUUACCUCUACUUAGGCCAGUUGCCUCACUGCAAAUAUAAAUUUGUUGUUCAGAAAACACUCUAUUAACUAAGCUACUUGUAGAGAUUUUUGUAAGUAUACAUGAAUUUUAUAAAAUGUAUUUAUUCUCAUAAAAUUUGUCUUAAAAAUGAAGACCUCUUGAAUAAUAGUCAUGAACAGGAUUCUCUAUUUAAAAGGAGAAAACUAAAAAUUCUUGGGAAUGUGCAAACAAUAAUUUGUUGACCUUUUUCCAAAAAGCAACUCCUCAAUGACCAUCUCCCAUUGCAGGGCAUGGAUCUAUAUGGACAGCAAUCUCACAAGCUACACAAUAGAGUGAGCAGGCUUAAGGUCCACAGAGGACUAGAGGAUCCCAUUCUCCAGCUGGGUUUCCACAUAAACUGCCUUAGUGUCUUUUGGUUAUUAAAAAUCAUAUAUUUGCUUGGUGACCAAGAUUAAUUUAUUAAUGUUAUCUACCUACAUUAGAAUAUAUGUUGUCACUAUUAAUGAUUUUUAGCAUGUACUUACCAUUACGUAGAAGAAUUAUAAUUGUACAGUGUUUUAUAGUGUGCAAAGUAAUUUUAUAGGCACUAUCACAUAUAAGCAUGAAAUCUUUGGUUAAAAUAUUCUCUGCUGGAUAGGUGAAAGCAUUGAAGUUCAGAGAGUUGAAAACAGAUUACUAAGAUCACAAAGCAUUAUUUUAGAGAAGUGACACGCCUAUUCUUUAAAACUGUGUGGAAUAAUGCUGUUUGUUUUAUUACAUGUAUUUGGGUGCUAUUAACAACCAUCUGAAAUGGAUGCUUAAGCUAUCUCUGUUUAAGUAAUUCACAGGUAUGCAUGUUUUGGUUCACUACCUGUGUAUUCUUACCUGUAUACCUUAACUUUUUAUCAACCAUGUUAUUAUUAUUUUUUAUUUUUUAGAAAUUCUUAGUGAUGGGACACCUGUGUGGCUCAGUC